AGAGAGCGUGACUCGGAGGGAAGGAAGAGGCGGGACUGACGUGCAAAUCGAUCGACUGACUUGGGAAUAGGGGCGAAAGACUAAUCGAACCAUCUAGUAGCUGGUUCCUUCCGAAUCAUAAUUUUCUGUGAUGCAUUUGCUUGUUUGGUGCUUGGGGAUGUUUGAGGCACAUUUGGAACCGCCGAUUUGAGGCCACCUUGCUGGUACCCAAACUGCGUUAUCAUCUUUUGUCUUGGACAUUUCCCCAUGGCUUACGGGCAUUUAUUGGAUCGAUCUGAUUGAAAGGUACGGGCGCAUGCGACACGUGCUUUUCAUUUAGAUCGAGCCAGUUAAUGGUCUCGAACUCCCUCCCCAUGGAAAAGCCGACCAUCUAUCCGACCCGGCUUGAAACACGGACCAAGGAGUUUAUCGUGUGCGCAAGUUUUUGGGUGUUAAAAACCUAACAGCGAAAUGAAAGAAAAUGCUUCUUUAGAGUCUGACGUGGGAUCUUGCAAAAAAGGGCAGCAUGUGCCCAUUCUAUCUGUUUACAGUAGUAUGCAGGAAGAGCGUACGCGGUGAGACCCCGAAGAUGGUGAACUAUUCCUGAGCAGGACGAAGCCAGAGGAAACUCUGGUGGAAGUCCGAAGCGGUUCUGACGUGCAAAUCGAUCGUCUGACUUGGGUAUAGGGGCGAAAGACUAAUCGAACCAUCUAGUAGCUGGUUCCUUCCCGA
RNAcentral lists this ribosomal RNA (711 nucleotides) under Meloidogyne enterolobii. Its description in RNAcentral is "eukaryotic LSU rRNA". It matches the Rfam family "Eukaryotic large subunit ribosomal RNA", at positions 386 to 965 of the family's 3401-position model. Lineage: Eukaryota; Metazoa; Nematoda; Chromadorea; Rhabditida; Meloidogynidae. The record is from RNAcentral.